GGUCAGGGGCCUCACCGAAGUGGUGCAGGCCAUGCAGCAGCAGCAGCUGCUGCAGGCAUCUGUGCAGCUGGAAAGAGCAUCAUCGGAGUUCCAGAAUCCGACGAUCGAGCGGCCCACUUGGGUUAGUCGCCCUGUAUCUCCUAAAAAGGGGAAGCAGAAGGUGGAGAGCCCUCUGUCUGAUCACGAUUCCACCUCCGAAGGGUCCCUACCUCCGUUCUGUCAGAAGACCCACGAGAUUCAUGAUCGAGAGGAUCUCCUGGAUCAAAGGUUCCAAGAGAUGAAC
Molecule: long non-coding RNA, 283 nt
Filed under: Elaeis guineensis (African oil palm)
Lineage: Eukaryota; Viridiplantae; Streptophyta; Magnoliopsida; Arecales; Arecaceae
Description: long non-coding RNA (EGUI_LNC081335)
Source: RNAcentral